AUUCAAUUAUGGGAAUAUCUGAAAAUUUGCAAACUUUGUGAAUUUUUAUCCAAUAUAAAUUAUGCAUGAAACGAAUUAGAAAAAUUCUCAGUUAUACUACUUGCUUAAUAGUACAUCCUUGAAUUUUUUCAAUAAGUUAGAAGUGGAAAAAAAUACAAGCAUAUGAUACUGCUUCAAAUUCAUUAUUUCACCAUUUGAAAACUUUUUUUCGAAUGGUGAUUAUUAUUCUAGAAAGCUAUAAAAAUUGUAUUAUGUACAGUAUGUCAGGUAGUAUACCCGUGAAUUUUUUCAACUCUUGUAGAAUCGGAAAUAAAAAUUGGAACAGUUCUCGAUAGUUAACAAAAUUUGAAAAUCAUGUUGCAAUGCUCAAAUGAUAAAGAAAAGAUUCGGAAUACACUUCCUUAGCUGACCAUCUUCAAUCUUCUAUUUUGCAUAGAAAUCCGCUGUCUAUCGAUAAGAGUUUUAGAAACUUUUAAUUGAACAGAAAUUAGUUGGCUGUAAUAAUCUCAUUUAAACUUAACGCUGCAUGCUACUUUCUCAUGCAUUCCCAAUUUUUACCUAGUGAUAUCGCGGCUAGUUUUUAAGCGCUUUUACACAAGUUCAAUCAUGAAAAGUCUCAAAUUCCUACGAAAUCGACUAUUUUUUACCAGACGCUAAACUAUUAACGCCUUUUAUAUGAAUAGUACGUAUUUAAAUUACGUACGAGCUCGUUACAAGCACAAGUAGUUUAAUCGUCGCGAAAUUCGUAAGUGAUGGAACUGCAAGAAGACAUAAUAAGACUGGUGAAGUGCCGUAAAUUUAUUUUAAAAAGUUUAUCGAAAGCUGACUUGCACAAUCUCGAAACUGUUUCAAGAGAUAUGCUAAAUGUCUAAAUAGAACAAACACUUUUAAUUAAGAUUAAUAAGAAUCUCUUAUAAAGUUAGAAAUACAUUGUACAUAAAAUGUUACGAUCUAUAGAAGCAAUAAAUCUUGUAACUAUUGAUAACUACUAUUCUAAUGAACGACGUCGUGUGAGAUGAUCGAAUUAUAUUUUGGAUACGAAGCAAUAAAAGGAGAAUGAUCUAUUUUGUAAGCUUGUCGUUUGAUCGAUGUACAAAACAAAGGCACUGCCAUGACUUCAGAAUCUACGUCAAUUAAAUACUACUAUACUAUAUAAAUUCCUAUUUUUUUACAACUCUCGCGCGAUCUUAAAUUUUGUGUGAAUUUAAAUUUUUCACGUACAUUUAGAAAAUGAAUGAUAUUGAAAUUUUGAUUUGAACAUAAACGUCGAUUAUCUCGCAGAUACAAUAUAACGUUUGAAUAAUAAUAAAAAGUGCAAUUUAAUUAUACGUUCGGGUAUAAUAUAUUUGACAACUAAUUUAUGUUUUUCGUGGCAAAUGUUACAUUGUACGGUGUAAUUGAUAGUACAAAAUGUAAAUGUGAAAUUGAUGGUACGCUUGAAGAAUGAGAACGAAUAUUUAAUUUAAUGGAUACAGGAAUGUCGAAGAUAUUUUUCUUCACGUACAAUAUUAAAAUAUAAGCUGAAUGUCUCAAUCUCUGAUUACUGGCUUAUUUUUCUACAAUUUUAAGAUAACAUAUAAAAUGAUGGGAAAGUAAAAUAACAUAAAGUUAAGUGAGUUAAAAUUGGAAAAGUGAAAUUGGUACAUUUAUUUAAUUAGUUGAAUGCAUAUGGCUUUCAAAUCGUAUUAUUUCUUCGUUUAUUUAAAACAACUGUUUAGGUGAAAAAAUUAAGGAACACUUUAUUUCAUUUAAAAACCUCUUCUCGAGAGUACCACGUUUUAUACAACAUUCUAUGUACAAUUAAAACAUGAAUUAAAUCAGUUUAAUUUACAUAAAAAACAGUUCGGAGAGGUAAAAGAACUUAUACAAAAUGUGUAUGUGUAUGUGUGCAUCCAAAUCUGAUUACAAUAAUUGUUUUUUGUAAUAUAUAUAUAUAAAGUAAAA
Molecule: long non-coding RNA, 1944 nt
Organism: Ceratina calcarata
Lineage: Eukaryota; Metazoa; Arthropoda; Insecta; Hymenoptera; Apidae
Exons: 2
Source: RefSeq, a predicted model, not a curated record